RNAcentral lists this ribosomal RNA (431 nucleotides) under uncultured bacterium. RNAcentral describes it as "partial 16S ribosomal RNA". It matches the Rfam family "Bacterial small subunit ribosomal RNA", at positions 29 to 507 of the family's 1533-position model. The record is from RNAcentral.
AACGAACGCUGGCGGCAGGCCUAACACAUGCAAGUCGAGCGCGCCCUCGGGUGAGCGGCGGACGGGUGAGUAACGCGUGGGAAUAUGCCCUUCUCUACGGAAUAGUCCUGGGAAACUGGGGGUAAUACCGUAUACGCCCUUUGGGGGAAAGAUUUAUCGGGGAAGGAUUAGCCCGCGUUGGAUUAGGUAGUUGGUGGGGUAAUGGCCUACCAAGCCGACGAUCCAUAGCUGGUUUGAGAGGAUGAUCAGCCACACUGGGACUGAGACACGGCCCAGACUCCUACGGGAGGCAGCAGUGGGGAAUCUUAGACAAUGGGGGCAACCCUGAUCUAGCCAUGCCGCGUGAGUGAUGAAGGCCUUAGGGUUGUAAAGCUCUUUCAGCUGGGAAGAUAAUGACGGUACCAGCAGAAGAAGCCCCGGCUAACUCCGUG